UCACGGGAACAGCCGAGCAUUCAGGGCAGGAGCGGGGGACCCAGGUAAGCCGCCGUCCGGGGACACCGGACGGCUCGGGGUGAAGUCGUGCCGCCGAACGCCCGCCGCGCAGCGCGGGCACGGUGAUCACGGCCGGGCAUCUCCUGCCCGAACCCGACAGCUCACCUCGCAGGCGUAGGAGAGGAAUU
Molecule: small RNA, 188 nt
Filed under: Actinacidiphila cocklensis
Lineage: Bacteria; Bacillati; Actinomycetota; Actinomycetes; Kitasatosporales; Streptomycetaceae
Description: Streptomyces cocklensis ydaO-yuaA
Rfam family: c-di-AMP riboswitch aptamer (ydaO/yuaA leader)
About the family: This family represents a conserved RNA structure found upstream of the ydaO and yuaA genes in Bacillus subtilis and related genes in other bacteria. The ydaO/yuaA element is thought to act as a genetic "off" switch for the ydaO and yuaA genes in its native state.
Source: RNAcentral